UACGAAGGGGGCUAGCGUUGUUCGGAUUUACUGGGCGUAAAGGGUGCGCAGGCGGAUUUUUAAGUCAGGGGUGAAAUCCCGAGGCUCAACCUCGGAACUGCCUUUGAUACUGGGGAUCUUGAGUCCGGAAGAGGUGAGUGGAACUGCGAGUGUAGAGGUGAAAUUCGUAGAUAUUCGCAAGAACACCGGUGGCGAAGGCGGCUCACUGGUCCGGAACUGACGCUGAGGCACGAAAGCGUGGGGAGCAAACAGG
This 253-nucleotide ribosomal RNA is filed under the name uncultured prokaryote. RNAcentral's name for it is "partial 16S ribosomal RNA". It matches the Rfam family "Bacterial small subunit ribosomal RNA", at positions 524 to 776 of the family's 1533-position model. The record is from RNAcentral.